Molecule: ribosomal RNA, 254 nt
Filed under: uncultured bacterium
Lineage: Bacteria
Description: partial 16S ribosomal RNA
Rfam family: Bacterial small subunit ribosomal RNA
Source: RNAcentral
UACGGAGGGGGGCGAGCGUUGUCCGAAGUUACUGGGCGUAAAGCGCGCGUAGGCGGGUGGGUAAGUCCGCUGUGAAAGCCCGGAGCUCAACUCCGGAGGGUCGGUGGAUACUGCCCAUCUUGAAGGUGCUAGGGGGAGAUGGAAUUACCGGUGUAGCGGUGAAAUGCGUAGAGAUCGGUAGGAACACCAGUGGCGAAGGCGGUCUCCUGGAGCAUACUUGACGCUGAGGCGCGAAAGCUGGGGGAGCGAACGGG